ACCGUGGGCGACAGCAAUAUGUAGGUCAGGCUGAAGGUCUUACCUGAAUCGCUGAGAGGAGGUGCAUGGCCGUCGUCAGUUCGUACUGUGAAGCAUCCUGUUAAGUCAGGCAACGAGCGAGACCCGUGCCCACUGUUGCCAGCAUAUCCUUCGGGAUGAUGGGUACUCUGUGGGGACCGCCGCUGCUAAAGCGGAGGAAGGUGCGGGCUACGGUAGGUCAGUAUGCCCCGAAUCUCCAGGGCUACACGCGGGCUACAAUGACCGGGACAAUGGGUCCCUACCCCGAAAGGGGUUGGUAAUCUCAUAAACCCGGCCUUAGUUCGGAUCGAGGGCUGCAACUCGCCCUCGUGAAGCUGGAAUCCGUAGUAAUCGCGUUUCAAUAUAGCGCGGUGAAUACGUCCCUGCUCCUU
This 410-nucleotide ribosomal RNA is filed under the name uncultured Methanolobus sp. Its description in RNAcentral is "bacterial SSU rRNA". It matches the Rfam family "Archaeal small subunit ribosomal RNA", at positions 929 to 1338 of the family's 1478-position model. The record is from RNAcentral. Lineage: Archaea; Methanobacteriati; Methanobacteriota; Methanomicrobia; Methanosarcinales; Methanosarcinaceae.